RNA transcript from Prosopis cineraria, 1497 nucleotides. It is a transcript of the gene named vacuolar-sorting receptor 1-like, with no coding region annotated. The record is from RefSeq and is a predicted model, not a curated record. The transcript has 4 exons. Lineage: Eukaryota; Viridiplantae; Streptophyta; Magnoliopsida; Fabales; Fabaceae.
CAUUGUUAACUUAUCAUUACGGGAGCUUUUAACUUUUCCAAGGCAGCGAGUCUUUUCCUCUUCCGAGCAACGAGUCCUCUCUUCCGAAGACAUCGAUUCUCCCAAUCUCAGUCCUCGGCUCUCGCUAGACAGCUCUUUGAAAAUUCUAGAAAUCUCCGUAUCUCCUUCUCGUCAUCCUUACAGUGUAAAAAAAUGAAACUUCGGAGGUCAUCGCUUUGUUUUCUCCUAGGGUUUCUGUUCGGCUUCAGAGAAGAACAGCUUGACGAUGACGUCGCCGGAGAAGAUUAAAGGCACACAAGAUAGCGCAAUUGAAAACUUUGGAAUCCCUCAAUAUGGGGGCAGCAUGGCUGGGAAUAUCGUGUGCCUGAAAGAGAACCAUAAAGGGUGUACAAAGUUAGGGGAUUCCUUCAAAACAAAACCUGGAGCUCUUCCGACCAUUCUUUUACUCGAUCGUGGAAUUAUUGGGUAUUCUUGAGAGCCCUUCUUGAAGAAACAAGAUUGUUUCCAGUAGUACUUGAUCUCAAGGGUUCUGGAAUUGAUAUCACAUAUAUUAACAAGAUUACUACAUUGGCAGAGUAUUCAAAACCUCUGGCUGAUUAUCUUGAAAACCUUCCUGAGGAUGAAAAGGUUAGAAACUUCACACGACAUUCUAAAAUUCAUGCAACUUGAAGCACUGUCACCUUUUGGUCUCCUGCAGUCUGUUAUAUUGAAGAAAAUGGCACCGAGGUCUGGGAGAGGGAAAUUGAAUAAAGCCAAUGCAGAGAAUAAGAAGGAGGAAGAGAAAGAUGAGGAAGUGCGGAAAGUGAAUCUAGGGAAAAACUGGAGGGAUCAACACAACCUACUGUGUCUAACAGUUCAAUAUUGAUGGAGAUGGCAAGCUGAAGAAGAAGAUGAUGAUGACACUACCUAUUCCACAUAUUCUACUGACAUCGCUCUCUACGUCUCCAACUGAACGAGCCUUCUCCGAUCGGGCCCAAGAUCGGUUUCCAUGGCUACACUUCAUGACCGUAAGGGCUUCUUCUCCCUCCUCUUCCUUUUCAGUUCUUCCAGAAGCCGACAAGGAGCAUCAUGCGAUGCAGAUAUCUGAACGAAAGGUUUGAGGUUUUCUCUAUAUCAGGAAAGAAGUGCCCUUCGCUUUCAACGAUGUUCAUGCGAAUAUAUGAAAUAACAAACCAGGAGCUAGUAAGAACUUUGCAGUAAAAACCCACUGAAAGAACAGCACAAGCAUCUUCAAGGCAAUCUUUAUGAUCGAGUCUCAGAAGCACUACUACACAGACACAUUUUGCUAGCGGCGGAGAACCAUGGAUGAAGAAGGGUGUUGGCGGCUGGCUGAAGAAGGGUUCUUACAGAGAAGAAAGCCGAUGAAAAAAAAAAAGGGAUUAAAAUAAUUUAAACAGUAUAUAUCACGUAAGAAAAAUAUAAAUGUUAAUAAGUGCCAACUCAAAUUAAAAUUUCAUAAGGUAUCAUAUUUUAGUUGGUCAUUCUGGCCUAUAUAUA